RNAcentral lists this ribosomal RNA (510 nucleotides) under Onthophagus hecate. Its description in RNAcentral is "partial 16S ribosomal RNA". It matches the Rfam family "Bacterial large subunit ribosomal RNA", at positions 1851 to 2612 of the family's 2925-position model. Lineage: Eukaryota; Metazoa; Arthropoda; Insecta; Coleoptera; Scarabaeidae. The record is from RNAcentral.
AGUCUGACCUGCCCUAUGAUGAAAAUUAAAUGGCCGCGAUAAUUUGAUCGUGCAAAGGUAGCAUAAUCAUUUGUUUCUUAAUUAGGAACUAGUAUGAAAGGUCGAACGAGAAAAUAACUGUCUCAAUUUAAUUUAAAUUAAAAUUUUAUUUUUAAGUAAAAAAGCUUAAAUAUUUUUUAAAGACGAGAAGACCCUAUAGAGUUUUAUAUUUAAUUAUUUUUUUUUUAUUUUUAGGAUUUAAUUUUAAAAUUAAUAAUUAUAUAUUUAGUUGGGGUGAUUUAAAAAUUAAAGAAACUUUUUAUUUUGUAGUAACAUUAAUGUAUGAUUAAUUGAUCCAUAGAUAAUGAUUAAAAGAUUAAAUUACCUUAGGGAUAACAGCGUAAUUUUUUUUGAGAGUUCUUAUCGAAAAAAUAGAUUGCGACCUCGAUGUUGGAUUAAAAUUAAUUUAUGGUGUAAAAGCUAUAUAAAUUAGGUCUGUUCGACCUUUAAAAUUUUACGUGAUCUGAGUUU